GAUGAACGCUGGCGGCGUGCCUAAUACAUGCAAGUCGAACGCAUAGCGAAAGGUUCUUGCCCCUUUCAAGUGAGUGGCGAACGGGUGAGUAACACGUGGACAACCUGCCUCAAGGCUGGGGAUAACAUUUGGAAACAGAUGCUAAUACCGAAUAAAACUUAGUGUCGCAUGACACAAAGUUAAAAGGCGCUUCGGCGUCACCUAGAGAUGGAUCCGCGGUGCAUUAGUUAGUUGGUGGGGUAAAGGCCUACCAAGACAAUGAUGCAUAGCCGAGUUGAGAGACUGAUCGGCCACAUGGGGACUGAGACACGGCCCAAACUCCUACGGGGGGCUGCAGUAGGGAAUCUUCCACAAUGGGCGAAAGCCUGAUGGAGCAACACGGCGUGUGUGAUGAAGGCUUUCGGGUCGUAAAGCACUGUUGUAUGGGAAGAACUGCUAGUAUAGGAAAUGAUUUUAGUUUGACGGUACCAUACCAGAAAGGGACGGCUAAAUACGUG
This 497-nucleotide ribosomal RNA is filed under the name uncultured bacterium. RNAcentral's name for it is "partial 16S ribosomal RNA". It matches the Rfam family "Bacterial small subunit ribosomal RNA", at positions 28 to 507 of the family's 1533-position model. The record is from RNAcentral.